RNAcentral lists this ribosomal RNA (422 nucleotides) under uncultured bacterium. RNAcentral describes it as "bacterial SSU rRNA". It matches the Rfam family "Bacterial small subunit ribosomal RNA", at positions 355 to 774 of the family's 1533-position model. The record is from RNAcentral.
UAAGGAAUAUUGGACAAUGGACGCAAGUCUGAUCCAGCCAUGCCGCGUGAAGGAUGAAUGCCCUCUGGGUUGUAAACUUCUUUUAUAGGGGAAGAAAGAUACUUUUUUUAAGGUAGUUGACGGUACCCUAUGAAUAAGCACCGGCUAACUCCGUGCCAGCAGCCGCGGUAAUACGGAGGGUGCAAGCGUUAUCCGGAUUUACUGGGUUUAAAGGGUGCGUAGGCGGGCAUGUAAGUCAGUGGUGAAAUACCGGAGCUUAACUUCGGAACUGCCAUUGAUACUAUAUGUCUUGAAUAUUGUUGAGGUAAGCGGAAUAUGUCAUGUAGCGGUGAAAUGCAUAGAUAUGACAUAGAACACCGAUUGCGGAGGCAGCUUGCUACGCAAAUAUUGACGCUGAGGCACGAAAGCGUGGGGAUCAAACA